UUUCGCAAUGCCCGAAAGGGUGACGAAGCGACGCCGCGUGUGGGAAGAAGGCCUUCGGGUUGUAAACCGCUGUUGGGAGUUAGGAAGUGUGGGAGCGUUAAUAGCGCUUCCACUUGACUAAAGCUCCAGAGGAAGCCACGGCUAACUCUGUGCCAGCAGCCGCGGUAAUACAGAGGCGGCAAGCGUUGUUCGGAAUUAUUGGGCGUAAAGAGCACGUAGGCGGCUCUGCAAGUCAGCUGUGAAAGCCUUCUGCUUAACGGAAGAACAGCAGUUGAAACUACAGGGCUUGAGUGCGGGAGGGGAGAGUGGAACUUCUGGUGGAGCGGUGAAAUGCGUAGAUAUCAGAAGGAACGCCGGCGGCGAAAGCGGCUCUCUGGUCCGUAACUGACGCUGAGUGUGCGAAAGCUAGGGGAGCAAACGGGAUUAGAUACCCCGGUAGUCCUAGCCGUAAACGAUGGGCACUAAGUAGAGGGGUUUU
This 478-nucleotide ribosomal RNA is filed under the name uncultured Planctomycetales bacterium. Its description in RNAcentral is "bacterial SSU rRNA". It matches the Rfam family "Bacterial small subunit ribosomal RNA", at positions 364 to 832 of the family's 1533-position model. Lineage: Bacteria; Pseudomonadati; Planctomycetota; Planctomycetia; Planctomycetales. The record is from RNAcentral. RNAcentral also lists the same sequence under 1 other name.